AGUGAACGCUGGCGGUAGGCCUAACACAUGCAAGUCGAACGGCAGCACAGUAAGAGCCUGCUCUUACGGGUGGCGAGUGGCGGACGGGUGAGGAAUACAUCGGAAUCUACUUUUUCGUGGGGGAUAACGUAGGGAAACUUACGCUAAUACCGCAUACGACCUACGGGUGAAAGCAGGGGAUCUUCGGACCUUGCGCGAUUGAAUGAGCCGAUGUCGGAUUAGCUAGUUGGCGGGGUAAAGGCCCACCAAGGCGACGAUCCGUAGCUGGUCUGAGAGGAUGAUCGGCCACACUGGAACGAGGACACGGUCCAGACUCCUACGGGAGGCAGCAGUGGGGAAUAUUGGACAAUGGGCGCAAGCCUGAUCCAGCCAUACCGCGUGGUGAAGAAGGCCUUCGGGUUGUAAAGCCCUUUUGUUGGGAAAGAAAAGCAGCAGGUUAAUACCCCGCUGUUCUGACGGUACCCAAAGAAUAAGCACCGGCUAACUUCGUG
RNAcentral lists this ribosomal RNA (491 nucleotides) under uncultured bacterium. RNAcentral's name for it is "partial 16S ribosomal RNA". It matches the Rfam family "Bacterial small subunit ribosomal RNA", at positions 29 to 507 of the family's 1533-position model. The record is from RNAcentral.